Molecule: long non-coding RNA, 335 nt
Filed under: Vitis vinifera (wine grape)
Lineage: Eukaryota; Viridiplantae; Streptophyta; Magnoliopsida; Vitales; Vitaceae
Description: long non-coding RNA (VVIN_LNC006407)
Source: RNAcentral
AUAUUUUAAGCUUAAAAUGCCCAUCGCUGAGGGAGAUGAGGCUUUGAUAAAGUUAUUUUUAAGAUUUUCCCUUGCUACACACAUAUACAUAUACAUAUACAUAUACACACAACAAAGCUUGCAAGAAUAGGUCUUCUAGCAAGUCCAAGGUGGAUCUAGCUGGUCUGAAGAAUAGGUCUUCUUGAAAUAUUUGUGCUGUCAACAACCUUGAACCACUGGCUCCCAGGAUCACACGUAUCAUCUCUACCCAAGCACUUGCAGGCAUCUGUGACAAUGGUGCUGCUGGAGUCUACAUCCAAGCAAACCGUGGUGCUAUCCCCCAGCUUAGUUGACAG